CUUACGGAGGCCUAGUGGUUAUAGCUUCCGCCUCGAAUGCGGGAGGUCGUGGGUUCCAUCACCGGUCGAGUCAUACUAAAGA
Potamilus streckersoni is the source of this 82-nucleotide non-coding RNA. The record is from the annotation of a GenBank genome assembly. NCBI's taxonomy places the organism in Eukaryota, Metazoa, Mollusca, Bivalvia, Unionida, Unionidae.